Molecule: ribosomal RNA, 538 nt
Filed under: uncultured Emiliania
Lineage: Eukaryota; Haptophyta; Isochrysidales; Noelaerhabdaceae
Description: bacterial SSU rRNA
Rfam family: Bacterial small subunit ribosomal RNA
Source: RNAcentral
CUUUAGUGGCGAACGGGUGCGUAAUACGUGAGAAUCUGCCCUUAGGAGGAGAAUAACUUCUGGAAACGGUUGCUAAGUCUCCAUAUGCCGAGAGGUGAAAUAGUUUAUACUGCCUAGGGAUGAGCUCACGCCUGAUUAGCUUGUUGGUAAGGUAAUGGCUUACCAAGGCCACGAUCAGUAGCUGGUUUGAGAGAACGAUCAGCCACACUGGGACUGAGACACGGCCCAGACUCCUCCGGGAGGCAGCAGUGAGGAAUUUUCCGCAAUGGGCGAAAGCCUGACGGAGCAAUACCGCGUGAGGGAUGAAGGAUUUUGGUCUGUAAACCUCUUUUUUCAAGAAAGAAGUUCUGACGGUACUUGAGGAAUAAGCAUCGGCUAACUCCGUGCCAGCAGCCGCGGUAAUACGGGGGAUGCAAGCGUUAUCCGGAAUCAUUGGGCGUAAAGCGCCUGUAGGUUGUUUAAUAAGUCUGUUGUUAAAGACUAGGGCUUAACCCUAGGAAAGCAAUGGAAACUGCUAGACUUGAGUAUGAUAGGGGUA